AUUGAACGCUGGCGGCAGGCCUAACACAUGCAAGUCGAGCGGAUGAAGGGAGCUUGCUCCUGGAUUCAGCGGCGGACGGGUGAGUAAUGCCUAGGAAUCUGCCUGGUAGUGGGGGAUAACGUCCGGAAACGGGCGCUAAUACCGCAUACGUCCUGCGGGAGAAAGUGGGGGAUCUUCGGACCUCACGCUAUCAGAUGAGCCUAGGUCGGAUUAGCUAGUUGGUGGGGUAAAGGCCUACCAAGGGGACGAUCCGUAACUGGUCUGAGAGGAUGAUCAGUCACACUGGAACUGAGACACGGUCCAGACUCCUACGGGAGGCAGCAGUGGGGAAUAUUGGACAAUGGGCGAAAGCCUGAUCCAGCCAUGCCGCGUGUGUGAAGAAGGUCUUCGGAUUGUAAAGCACGUUAAGUUGGGAGGAAGGGCAGUAAGUUAAUACCUUGCUGUUGUGACGUUACCAACAGAAUAAGCACCGGCUAACUUCGUG
RNAcentral lists this ribosomal RNA (484 nucleotides) under uncultured bacterium. Its description in RNAcentral is "partial 16S ribosomal RNA". It matches the Rfam family "Bacterial small subunit ribosomal RNA", at positions 30 to 507 of the family's 1533-position model. The record is from RNAcentral.